GGGACACGUCGUCUCCACACACACCCCCCCUCCUCGGUUGUGCGCACUUGGGUUUUGUUCCAAGCCGUGAGCUUGGGCUCAGGUUUUUCCAGAAAGGCAUUUGGUCUGUACGUGCUCCGGGAGCCCAGCAGCCCCAAGGUGCAAUAAUAGCAUCUUCUGGUUUAGGAAUGUUUUCCGUCCGCCGACAUUCCCCUUCCUUCUCACCCUCUGUUCCUCAAUCCACCGUGAACGGAAACCCAGGAGAAAACAGGACCGGACACCAAAGCCUGAAAGAUCCCCCCCUCCCCGCCCCCCACUUCAUUGCCAAGCGAUUUCCAGCCCAGCGAGGCUAAAAAUCUUGAGGUUUUGAUGUGCUUGAAACUACUUACAUUGAGUAAGAAGCCGCGUACCCUGGAAAGCAUGGGAACGCGAAUUAAACAUGGUAAGUUGAGAGGACAAAUGACACAAAUACAUUUCAGGAUUCAUCCAAGGAGUCGGGUUCUAUUCAGGGGAAGCCCAGAGUGUCCAAACACAGCCGCGCCAACCUGGAGAGGUAGUUCCAGUUUCAGGUAGGUCACAAGCUCCCAGGAUGGCAAGCCGGGCCAGUGAACUCUCAAGCAAUGGGGAUAACCUAGAGGACAUUUUCAGCCAUUUCCAGCUGUCAAAUCCAGUGAGUCGAAACCCCCUGGCUUAGGGGGAAAUAUUUGUAGCCCCAGCUCCUACAGGGGCAGGAAAUGCAGUUUUGAGAGACAGCUGGACUCCGGCUCCUGUGAGUUGGUCAAAGAGGCAGACCUGGAAAGGGCUCUCUCUGGCGCAGCCAGUUGGAACCUGCUGCAUCUGUUCACAGCUAGUGCCAAGUCGCAGCACAGCAGGCAUCACCCCGAUGUUCUCCAGGGUGUUUCCUUGAAGAAAAGGUGCGGAGAAGGUAAGAGGCCUUCUCUAUAAAGUUCUCUGGCUUCCCUCGGGGGGUCCACUGGCUGCCUGUCUGUAGUGGUUCUACUUGGGGUGGGAGACUCUGUCCACGGCCUCCUCCUUCAGGCCCUGUCUCAGCCCUAAUCCAUUACCCUGUACUGGACAUUGAUUUGCCAAUAGCCUACGUAGCUGAGGAAGUUACUCUGGUCAGUGGCUUCUCUCUGGAGGUUCCUGUGUAGAGGCCUGCUUCUCUGCUUGGGUUCCAAGGCCAGUCCUCUUCUCACUCUCCACGCACCCUGCCUCUCCAAGUUUCUCAACCUUAGUGCUUCUGACCCUGGGGCCAGAAUAUUCUUUAUUGGGUUCUGUGCAUUCUGGAAAGUUUAGUAGCCUCUCUGGCCUCCUCCUACUAGAUGCCAGUAGAGGUUGCCCCUACCCUGUUAUGACAAUCAAAAAUGUCUCCAAGUAACUGUCUCCCCUGUGGUUCUCCUCUUUGGCUUCAAUUACCACCGAGAUGUCGAUGGCUUCUGAAACCAGCCCUCUAGCCCUGUUGGUUUGUGGAAAUGCUCAUCCAACUGUCCCUGGGGUAUUUCUACCUGCAUAACCCACAGGAUGGAACUCCCAGUGGCCCAAACCAGAAAGUUCUCCUCCAUAGCGCCGUUUCUGAUCCACCGUCGCCCGCCGCCACCACCUCAGUUCAAGAUUCCAGUGUCUGUUACCUGGAUUAUAAGGGCAUCUUCCUCCUCCUGCUCCCUGCCCAAUCUCUGCACUCACACCUCAGGGAGCUUCCUAAGGCUUCUGCCUCAUGGUGCCCCUCCCUGGUUUUCAAGACCCCGUUUGUUAAGGCUCAAAAUUACUCUCCUUAAACCCCAGCACUACACCCAUUUUCCCUUGUCCCCAUGUCCUUUAUGUGGGAAUGUUCCCUCCUGCUUUCAUCUGGUUCACGUCCUCAUUCUUGAAACACAGAUCAACUGUAAAGAUACCAUAAAUUUGGAAAGCAAGUCUUUUUUUUUAAGUUGCUUUUUUUUUGAUUCUGUAUGGUACAUCCUAAUAUUACGAAAUAUUCCAUAUGGUACAUCCUAAUAUUAUGAAACAUAAACCAUAAACCCAAUAAACUUUGUUCUUUUUUUAUUUUUAUUUUA
Molecule: long non-coding RNA, 2030 nt
Organism: Canis lupus familiaris (dog)
Lineage: Eukaryota; Metazoa; Chordata; Mammalia; Carnivora; Canidae
Exons: 3
Source: RefSeq, a predicted model, not a curated record